GUGGGGAAUAUUGCACAAUGGGCGCAAGCCUGAUGCAGCAACGCCGCGUGAGGGACGACGGCCUUCGGGUUGUAAACCUCUUUUAGCAGGGAAGAAGUGAAAGUGACGGUACCUGCAGAAAAAGCACCGGCUAACUACGUGCCAGCAGCCGCGGUAAUACGUAGGGUGCAAGCGUUGUCCGGAAUUAUUGGGCGUAAAGAGCUCGUAGGCGGUUUGUCGCGUCUGCUGUGAAAACCCGAGGCUCAACCUCGGGCCUGCAGUGGGUACGGGCAGACUAGAGUGCGGUAGGGGAGAUUGGAAUUCCUGGUGUAGCGGUGGAAUGCGCAGAUAUCAGGAGGAACACCGAUGGCGAAGGCAGAUCUCUGGGCCGUAACUGACGCUGAGGAGCGAAAGCGUGGGGAGCGAACAGGAUUAGAUACCCGAGUAGUCC
RNAcentral lists this ribosomal RNA (430 nucleotides) under uncultured bacterium. RNAcentral describes it as "partial 16S ribosomal RNA". It matches the Rfam family "Bacterial small subunit ribosomal RNA", at positions 354 to 796 of the family's 1533-position model. The record is from RNAcentral.